Molecule: ribosomal RNA, 169 nt
Filed under: Maurolicus japonicus (North Pacific lightfish)
Lineage: Eukaryota; Metazoa; Chordata; Actinopteri; Stomiiformes; Sternoptychidae
Description: partial 12S rRNA
Source: RNAcentral
CACCGCGGUUAGACGAGAGACCCAAGUUGACAUCAAACGGCGUAAAGAGUGGUUAAGAACCUUCCAAACUAAAGCUAAACCCCCUCCUGGCCGUUAUACGCAUCCGAAAGGGUGAGACACCACUACAAAAGUAGCUUUAUAAUUGCCUGACUCCACGACAGUUAAGAAA